AAUUCGACGCAACGCGAAGAACCUUACCUGGGCUUGACAUCCCGAUCGCACCUUAUGGAAACAUAGGGGUCAGUUCGGCUGGAUCGGUGACAGGUGCUGCAUGGCUGUCGUCAGCUCGUGUCGUGAGAUGUUGGGUUAAGUCCCGCAACGAGCGCAACCCUUGUCCUUAGUUGCCAGCAUUCAGUUGGGCACUCUAAGGAGACUGCCGGUGUCAAACCGGAGGAAGGGUGGGGAUGACGUCAAGUCCUCAUGGCCCUUAUGUCCAGGGCUACACACGUGCUACAAUGGCCGGUACGAAAGGGGCGCAAGACCGCGAGGUGGAGACAAACUCCCAAAAAACCGGUCUCAGUUCGGAUUGGAGUCUGCAACUCGACUCCAUGAAGUUGGAAUCGCUAGUAAUCGCGUAUCAGCAUGACGCGGUGAAUACGUUCCCGGGCCUU
RNAcentral lists this ribosomal RNA (440 nucleotides) under uncultured Desulfuromonas sp. Its description in RNAcentral is "bacterial SSU rRNA". It matches the Rfam family "Bacterial small subunit ribosomal RNA", at positions 948 to 1382 of the family's 1533-position model. The record is from RNAcentral. Lineage: Bacteria; Pseudomonadati; Thermodesulfobacteriota; Desulfuromonadia; Desulfuromonadales; Desulfuromonadaceae.